CGGCGGACGGGUGAGUAAUGCUUAGGAAUCUGCCUAUUAGUGGGGGACAACAUUCCGAAAGGAAUGCUAAUACCGCAUACGUCCUACGGGAGAAAGCAGGGGACCUUCGGGCCUUGCGCUAAUAGAUGAGCCUAAGUCGGAUUAGCUAGUUGGUGGGGUAAAGGCCUACCAAGGCGACGAUCUGUAGCGGGUCUGAGAGGAUGAUCCGCCACACUGGGACUGAGACACGGCCCAGACUCCUACGGGAGGCAGCAGUGGGGAAUAUUGGACAAUGGGGGGAACCCUGAUCCAGCCAUGCCGCGUGUGUGAAGAAGGCCUUUUGGUUGUAAAGCACUUUAAGCGAGGAGGAGGCUACUAGUAUUAAUACUACUGGAUAGUGGACGUUACUCGCAGAAUAAGCACCGGCUAACUCUGUGCCAGCAGCCGCGGUAAUACAGAGGGUGCGAGCGUUAAUCGGAUUUACUGGGCGUAAAGCGUGCGUAGGCGGCUGAUUAAGUCGGAUGUGAAAUCCCUGAGCUUAACUUAGGAAUUGCAUUCGAUACUGGUCAGCUAGAGUAUGGGAGAGGAUGGUAGAAUUCCAGGUGUAGCGGUGAAAUGCGUAGAGAUCUGGAGGAAUACCGAUGGCGAAGGCAGCCAUCUGGCCUAAUACUGACGCUGAGGUACGAAAGCAUGGGGAGCAAACAGGAUUAGAUACCCUGGUAGUCCAUGCCGUAAACGAUGUCUACUAGCCGUUGGGGCCUUUGAGGCUUUAGUGGCGCAGCUAACGCGAUAAGUAGACCGCCNNNGGAG
This 789-nucleotide ribosomal RNA is filed under the name uncultured bacterium. RNAcentral describes it as "bacterial SSU rRNA". It matches the Rfam family "Bacterial small subunit ribosomal RNA", at positions 96 to 880 of the family's 1533-position model. The record is from RNAcentral.